This 458-nucleotide ribosomal RNA is filed under the name uncultured Methanomicrobiales archaeon. RNAcentral's name for it is "bacterial SSU rRNA". It matches the Rfam family "Archaeal small subunit ribosomal RNA", at positions 879 to 1338 of the family's 1478-position model. Lineage: Archaea; Methanobacteriati; Methanobacteriota; Methanomicrobia; Methanomicrobiales. The record is from RNAcentral.
CAACGAGGUGGAGCCUGCGGUUUAAUCGGACUCAACGCCGGGAAACUCACCAGAUAAGACAGCUGAAUGAUAGUCGGGCUGAAGACUCUACUUGACUAGCUGAGAGGAGGUGCAUGGCCGUCGUCAGUUCGUACUGUGAAGCAUCCUGCUAAGUCAGGCAACGAGCGAGACCCACGCCAACAGUUGCCAGCUCGUCCUCCGGGAUGGUGGGGACACUGUUGGGACCGCCUCUGCUAAAGAGGAGGAAGGAAUGGGCAACGGUAGGUCAGCAUGCCCCGAAUUAUCUGGGCUACACGCGGGCUACAAUGGGUGGGACAAUGGGUAUCGACACCGAAAGGUGAAGGCAAUCUCCUAAACCCAUCCGUAGUUCGGAUUGUGGGCUGCAACUCGCCCACAUGAAGCUGGAAUCGCUAGUAAUCGCGGAUCAGAACGCCGCGGUGAAUACGUUCCCGGGCCUU